Sander lucioperca (pikeperch) is the source of this 454-nucleotide long non-coding RNA. RefSeq lists it as uncharacterized. The record is from RefSeq and is a predicted model, not a curated record. Lineage: Eukaryota; Metazoa; Chordata; Actinopteri; Perciformes; Percidae. The transcript has 3 exons.
CCUGCUGGUUAAUCUGCCUCCUCUUUGUCUUUCUCUAUCACUCUGCCCCUACCCCCGCCCUCACUGCUUUGAUUUGAAAAAUAGCGGAGGGAGAUGACUCAUCCGAGAGUUAGAGCAAAAGCUUCCAAAGUAUAGGAGUAUUUCAGGCCAUCUGGUAAAAGAAUUGUCUGUACACUGUCUGUUCACUUGCUUUUCACAGGAGUACAACCAUGCACCUAAAAAGGAAACACGCAGGAGUUGUCCAAGAUGUACGGAGCGUUUUUAUUUUUUUCCUCCAUGUCACCUCCGGGGCUCCGUAAAGAUGCGCCCACAGAAAAGGAAAAUACAACGAAGCAGUACACCGUCUUCACAACUUGGAGAAAUUGUAGGCGCUACGAACCGGAGCAAGGAUUAACCUCACCUCAUAACGAGGCCGUGACCUAUUUGCUCGGAGCAAGUCCAGAUUUACAUGAUG